This 491-nucleotide ribosomal RNA is filed under the name uncultured bacterium. Its description in RNAcentral is "partial 16S ribosomal RNA". It matches the Rfam family "Bacterial small subunit ribosomal RNA", at positions 29 to 507 of the family's 1533-position model. The record is from RNAcentral.
GUGAACGUUGGCGGUAGGCCUAACACAUGCAAGUCGAACGGCAGCACAGUAAGAGCUUGCUCUUACGGGUGGCGAGUGGCGGACGGGUGAGGAAUACAUCGGAAUCUACUUUUUCGUGGGGGAUAACGUAGGGAAACUUACGCUAAUACCGCAUACGACCUACGGGUGAAAGCAGGGGAUCUUCGGACCUUGCGCGAUUGAAUGAGCCGAUGUCGGAUUAGCUAGUUGGCGGGGUAAAGGCCCACCAAGGCGACAAUCCGUAGCUGGUCUGAGAGGAUGAUCAGCCACACUGGAACUGAGACACGGUCCAGACUCCUACGGGAGGCAGCAGUGGGGAAUAUUGGACAAUGGGCGCAAGCCUGAUCCAGCCAUACCGCGUGGGUGAAGAAGGCCUUCGGGUUGUAAAGCCCUUUUGUUGGGAAAGAAAAGCAGCAGGUUAAUACCCCGCUGUUCUGACGGUACCCAAAGAAUAAGCACCGGCUAACUUCGUG